Molecule: ribosomal RNA, 392 nt
Filed under: Pantoea dispersa
Lineage: Bacteria; Pseudomonadati; Pseudomonadota; Gammaproteobacteria; Enterobacterales; Erwiniaceae
Description: bacterial SSU rRNA
Rfam family: Bacterial small subunit ribosomal RNA
Source: RNAcentral
GGCUAACCAUGCAGUCGACGGCAGCACAGAAGAGCUUGCUCUUUGGGUGGCGAGUGGCGGACGGGUGAGUAAUGUCUGGGAAACUGCCCGAUGGAGGGGGAUAACUACUGGAAACGGUAGCUAAUACCGCAUAACGUCGCAAGACCAAAGUGGGGGACCUUCGGGCCUCACACCAUCGGAUGUGCCCAGAUGGGAUUAGCUAGUAGGUGGGGUAAUGGCUCACCUAGGCGACGAUCCCUAGCUGGUCUGAGAGGAUGACCAGCCACACUGAAACUGAAACACGGCCCAUACUCCUACGGGAGGCAGCAGUGGGGAAUAUUGCACAAUGGGCCCAAACCUUAUGCACCCAUGCCGCGUGUAUGAAGAAAGCCUUCGGGUUGUAAAGUACUUUC